Molecule: ribosomal RNA, 157 nt
Filed under: uncultured Sphingomonas sp.
Lineage: Bacteria; Pseudomonadati; Pseudomonadota; Alphaproteobacteria; Sphingomonadales; Sphingomonadaceae
Description: partial 16S ribosomal RNA
Rfam family: Bacterial small subunit ribosomal RNA
Source: RNAcentral
UGCGGCCUAGGGGCGAAGCCUGAUCCAGCAUGCCGCGUGAGUGAUGAAGGCCUUAGGGUUGUAAAGCUCUUUUACCCGGGAUGAUAAUGACAGUACCGGGAGAAUAAGCUCCGGCUAACUCCGUGCCAGCAGCCGCGGUAAUACGGAGGGAGCUAGC